AUUUAGUAGACAGAAGCUUAGGUGGAAGAUUACUAAUGAGAGUGGCGAACGGGUGAGUAACGCGUGAGCAACCUGCCUAUGACAGUGGGAUAGCCUCGGGAAACCGGGAUUAAUACCGCGUAAAAUCGUAGAAACACAUGUUUUAACGGUCAAAGAUUUAUCGGUCAUAGAUGGGCUCGCGUCUGAUUAGCUAGUUGGUGAGAUAACAGCCCACCAAGGCGACGAUCAGUAGCCGGUCUGAGAGGAUGAACGGCCACAUUGGAACUGAGACACGGUCCAAACUCCUACGGGAGGCAGCAGUGGGGAAUAUUGCACAAUGGGGGAAACCCUGAUGCAGCGACGCCGCGUGAACGAAGAAGGUAUUCGUAUCGUAAAGUUCUGUCCUAUGGGAAGAUAAUGACAGUACCAUAGAAGAAAGCUCCGGCUAAAUACGUGCCAGCAGCCGCGGUAAUACGUAUGGAGCGAGCGUUGUCCGGAAUUAUUGGGCGUAAAGGGUACGCAGGCGGUUUAAUAAGUCGAAUGUUAAAGAUCGGGGCUCAACCCCGUAAAGCAUUGGAAACUGAUAAACUUGAGUAGUGGAGAGGAAAGUGGAAUUCCUAGUGUAGUGGUGAAAUACGUAGAUAUUAGGAGGAAUACCAGUAGCGAAGGCGACUUUCUGGACACAAACUGACGCUGAGGUACGAAAGCGUGGGGAGCAAACAGGAUUA
RNAcentral lists this ribosomal RNA (707 nucleotides) under uncultured Eubacteriales bacterium. Its description in RNAcentral is "bacterial SSU rRNA". It matches the Rfam family "Bacterial small subunit ribosomal RNA", at positions 55 to 780 of the family's 1533-position model. The record is from RNAcentral. Lineage: Bacteria; Bacillati; Bacillota; Clostridia; Eubacteriales.